GUGGCAUAUGAAAAGAGAACAGGUUAGCACUCUCCUUGACAAAAACACCCUAAAAUGGAAAAUUAAGACUGUUUCAGUUUUCUGCAUUCUUUAUUUA
RNAcentral lists this non-coding RNA (97 nucleotides) under Rhinolophus ferrumequinum (greater horseshoe bat). Lineage: Eukaryota; Metazoa; Chordata; Mammalia; Chiroptera; Rhinolophidae. The record is from RNAcentral.